GCUGGGAACACAGUGAGGGCAGAUCCACCCCCAGUUCUGUGAAGCCUUCUCACACAGGUGCUGGUGGUCAUGUCUGCAGGGAAGUAGAGCUUAGAGAUAAGCUCACACUGAGGUAUCUUACAUGCAGCUGACUGAGCAAGUGCCUACAAAGCACCAGGCCUUGCCUCUAAUGUAGAUGUCCUGCAUCCGUUUCAACGUGUGAUUGGAGAGCGAUGGAAUGGUCUUUGCUACCAGAACAAGACUGUAUUCUCAAAUGGAAAUAUCAUUCUAUGAGCAAUUGUCUUUUCAGUUCCUUUUAA
Long non-coding RNA from Pogoniulus pusillus (Red-fronted tinkerbird), 299 nucleotides. RefSeq lists it as uncharacterized. Lineage: Eukaryota; Metazoa; Chordata; Aves; Piciformes; Lybiidae. The record is from RefSeq and is a predicted model, not a curated record. The transcript is spliced from 2 exons.